This 97-nucleotide small nucleolar RNA is filed under the name Chlamydomonas reinhardtii. RNAcentral describes it as "CrCD27 snoRNA". Lineage: Eukaryota; Viridiplantae; Chlorophyta; Chlorophyceae; Chlamydomonadales; Chlamydomonadaceae. The record is from RNAcentral.
UGUGGAUGAUGAGAAAUCACCAGACACUCUCACGACGGUCUGCUUAAUGGCGAGUCCUCCUUGCCCUGCUGAGAUCCUGGUACUUUCUUCUGACACA